Molecule: long non-coding RNA, 481 nt
Filed under: Brassica napus (rape)
Lineage: Eukaryota; Viridiplantae; Streptophyta; Magnoliopsida; Brassicales; Brassicaceae
Description: long non-coding RNA (BNAP_LNC008225)
Source: RNAcentral
GUCAGGAGAAAUCUGAUUGGUUAAAGUUGUUUUGUGGGCCAUGUAGGUUGUUGAAUUAUGGUUGGUUUAUUUAAUUGGAGAAUAAAUGAAAGGCUAGUUUGGGGAGUGCAAGGAUAAAAGGGUAGAAAGAAUAGAGAAGGGGCAGUAAGAAUUCAUUUAAGGGGGUAUGAGGUAUAUGAAGUUAAUCUCCUUUAUUUUAUGAUGUUUAACGGAAAAAAAAACCACAGAAAACUAUCUUCUUUUCGUGUGUUCUAAAAAGUAAAAACAGAUUUAGCAUCAGAGAAAUAAACUACUAUAGAAGAAAAAUAAAAUAUAGACUUACCCCACUCGUGCUACAUGAUCACAACUUAAAAGCAUUGGGCAAUAAUUGAAUGAGACAUUGCUCACUAAACAUUCCAUAUGUAUAUUGCGCCAUCGAGAAGUUUUACGACGUUAGAAGAAUCUCUUUCCUCAGUAAUAAUGGGCUUAGACCUUAUUUUUU